RNAcentral lists this ribosomal RNA (177 nucleotides) under uncultured bacterium. RNAcentral's name for it is "partial 16S ribosomal RNA". It matches the Rfam family "Bacterial small subunit ribosomal RNA", at positions 335 to 524 of the family's 1533-position model. The record is from RNAcentral.
ACUCCUACGGGAGGCAGCAGUGGGGAAUAUUGCGCAAUGGGCGAAAGCCUGACGCAGCGACGCCGCGUGGGGGAUGAAGGCCUUCGGGUUGUAAACCCCUUUCAGCAGGGAAGAAGCGCAAGUGACGGUACCUGCAGAAGAAGCACCGGCUAACUACGUGCCAGCAGCCGCGGUAAU